RNAcentral lists this ribosomal RNA (497 nucleotides) under uncultured bacterium. Its description in RNAcentral is "bacterial SSU rRNA". It matches the Rfam family "Bacterial small subunit ribosomal RNA", at positions 31 to 518 of the family's 1533-position model. The record is from RNAcentral.
GAACGCUAGCGACAGGCUAACACAUGCAAGUCGAGGGGUAACAGGGUAGCAAUACCGCUGACGACCGGCGCACGGGUGAGUAACGCGUAUGCAACCUGCCUAGUAACUGGGGAAUAGCUCCCUGAAAGGGGAAUUAACACCGCAUAACACUAUUGAUUCGCAUGGAUUGGUAGUUAAAUGUAGCGAUACAGGUUAUAGAUGGGCAUGCGUGACAUUAGCUAGUUGGUGAGGUAACGGCUCACCAAGGCUACGAUGUCUAGGGGUUCUGAGAGGAAGGUCCCCCCACACUGGUACUGAGACACGGACCAGACUCCUACGGGAGGCAGCAGUGAGGAAUAUUGGUCAAUGGGCGCAAGCCUGAACCAGCCAUGUCGCGUGCAGGAAGAACCUGCCCUAUGGGUUGUAAACUGCUUUUAUAGUAGAAGAAACACAUCUACGUGUAGAUGUCUGCCAGUAUACUAUGAAUAAGCAUCGGCUAACUCCGUGCCAGCCGCCGC